UACGAAGGGGGCUAGCGUUGCUCGGAAUCACUGGGCGUAAAGGGUGCGUAGGCGGGUCUUUAAGUCAGGGGUGAAAUCCUGGAGCUCAACUCCAGAACCGCCUUUGAUACUGAGGAUCUUGAGUUCGGGAGAGGUGAGUGGAACUGCGAGUGUAGAGGUGAAAUUCGUAGAUAUUCGCAAGAACACCAGUGGCGAAGGCGGCUCACUGGCCCGAUACUGACGCUGAGGCACGAAAGCGUGGGGAGCAAACAGG
RNAcentral lists this ribosomal RNA (253 nucleotides) under uncultured bacterium. RNAcentral describes it as "partial 16S ribosomal RNA". It matches the Rfam family "Bacterial small subunit ribosomal RNA", at positions 524 to 776 of the family's 1533-position model. The record is from RNAcentral.